GUGUGACAAAAACUUUUAAGAUGUUGAUCUUAGAAAAAUCAGGAGUUGUGGGCUCUUUAGGCACAUUAUUGGACUUUACGAGCAACCAUACACAUUGCUUGAUUUCCUCUCUGUAAGAGAAGCAGUUAUGCUGGAUGUAUACAUUUGGGGAUCUAUGGAGGAGUAAGGGACACUGUAUGAAACAUACAUGUGUUUGCCAGAAAAAAAUUAGAAGUGCAAUAAUUUAUUUCUCUACUGUGGAAGGAAGAGGGCUAUUGCAGCCAAUAUUAUACUUUAACAUCAACGAUGGACUGGGAAUUAAUUCCUCUACAUCUCUCCUUUCCUUCUGGGCUAGCUCUUUCCAUAUCUAGAGAGGUGGGUCAUACCAUUUCAUGACCUGUUGUAGGAAAUGGGGUCUGGUGAAUACACCCCACUGUAUUCCACUAUGAGUUAAAUGCUUUUCUACCCCUAUGAGCUGCUCUUGGAAAUGAUAAUCUGGGUAGAGAUAGCCCUUUAUGUUUUGUCUGUCACAGAUGUUACUUUGUUUAUUGUAAAAGAAACCCAAUGCCAUUUAAAUGGCCAAACCUCACUUCACUCUUUCAGGUUUUUCUAAGCAAUCCGUUUGGACUUGCUUCCUUCCUGCAGUCUACCCUGAAUGUUCCAGAUAGUUCAGUCAUUUUCAAAGUUAUCUUCCUGAAGAAUGACUCCGGGGGUCUUUUAGAUAGCUCCUGCUUUCCCCUUUCUAACUGAAAUGUUAUUCAUAAUUUAUGUCAUAAUAUUUUAUUUCCAUUCCUUCCACAUUGGUCUGUGAAUGUAAAUCAUGUUGACUUAGCUGAUCAUGUUGACAUUAGGCAAAUUGUAAGGGAUGGAAAUAUGUCUCACCAUUAUAAUCUGUCUGAAUGUACUCUAUGCUGUUUUAUAUCUUGCAGACUUCUUACAGGACUCGCAUAUAAAUAUUAGACAAAAUAAAUUUCACAUAUUUUGAAACCUUGUAUCAACUCAUUCGGUGCUGGGCCCUAGAAAAGUAUCUGUGACGCUGUAAUUCUUGUGUCUCUCUAAUCCCUAGGUUAGAAAAGGGUUAGGGGGAACUAUUCAUAAACACAUUCAAAUAAACCAGUGGAUGUUUUGUUUACUACAUUAUUUCUACAUCGUCCUUUCCUGUUUUUCUACAACUACAAGAAAUCACAUAGAUCAACAAUUCUCAAAUUCUAUGUGUAUACCAGCCACCUGAGAUGAUCUUAACAUGUAAAUUCUGUUUCAGUGCCUCAGAGCUGGUGCCAGUGUCUGUAAGUGAGGGUAGGCAUUUCUAAGCAGAGCCUGGGUGAUACACAGAUAGUCUACAGAUCAUGUUCUCAAUAGUAAGGACAUAGACAAUGCAGGGCUUCUACUUUCCUGUAUCCCAUAACUUCAGCUUAGCACAUGAAUUUGACAAAAUGUGUUUCGUAUCUUUAUUCUCCCCACAUUUGGGGAAAGAAGUCCUUAGGUACAAAUGUGUUUGCACCAUGAUGGGAAUUAUAUAGUUAUUGAAAGAGGUAAACUGAUAUCCAGUCAUUCAGAUCUGACAAAUAACUAAUGAUAAAACCCAAUUCUGAGGAGUUCCAGUUCUGUUGAGAAUAUAGGUUGAAAUAUAAGAAGGAAAUCCAGAAAGGCUGCCAGUUACAGCCCAACUAAUGAUCUUACCAUAAUGGGAUUUUGGGGCAUAUCACAAGCAGCAAAUGGUGCCAGAGAAAUGAUACAACAAAAUGAUGAAUGGGGAUGGAGGCUUUUGUUGGUGAUGAUGACGGUAGUGGUAGUAAUGUGGUUUGUUGUUUGCUUGUUUGCUUUAAGAAAAUGAGAGGAAAACCCUUUCAGUGGCUCUUGAGAGAUCCACUCAUUAUUUACUCUUGAAUUUGUCUUAGUGUUGCUACUAAAGCAUGCCAGAUUAACUCAACUAAAGUCCUGAGACCUAGAAAAAGUUUAAUUUAAAUGCUUAAUUACAAUCAGUCUAUAAAGCGGGUUACAAUUUUAAGAUACAUCUUCUCUGUGCCUAUCUCUGAUUUCCAUUAUCAAGAUCUCAGCUCACCAGAAUCAGCAUUUAGAAAUGUGUGCUUACCAGUUGUCCCUUAACCACCUCCUGUCUCUUUAUAAAAUAAUGCUUUGCAAUUAAGGUCACUGUCUAUACCUUAAAUAUUUUUAAAUGCUAAUUGGCAAGCUCUCUACUAUGUACAGCACUGGUAAGGUAGAUAAUAAUAGGUUUUUACUGAUUAUUAAGCGGGCUCUGUUAUAGCAAAAGUCUAAGGGCUGGAGUCAACCAUGAAAGG
RNAcentral lists this long non-coding RNA (2279 nucleotides) under Mus musculus (house mouse). RNAcentral's name for it is "long non-coding RNA chr16:42400613-42402892". Lineage: Eukaryota; Metazoa; Chordata; Mammalia; Rodentia; Muridae. The record is from RNAcentral.